CUCAAUUACCGGGACAUCCCAUAAAAUUAGAACAAUACAGAGAAGAUUAACAUGGCUCCUGCGCAAGGAUGACAUGCACAACUCAAGACUAUGACACAUGCAU
Small nuclear RNA from Cucurbita maxima (winter squash), 103 nucleotides. The record is from RefSeq and is a predicted model, not a curated record. Lineage: Eukaryota; Viridiplantae; Streptophyta; Magnoliopsida; Cucurbitales; Cucurbitaceae.